CCUACGGGUGGCAGCAGUGAGGAAUAUUGGUCAAUGGACGCAAGUCUGAACCAGCAAUGCCGCGUGCAGGAAGACGGCUCUAUGAGUUGUAAACUGCUUUUGUACGAGGGUAAACGCAGAUACGCGUAUCUGUAUGAAAGUAUCGUACGAAUAAGGAUCGGCUAACUCCGUGCCCGCAGCCGCGGGAAUACGGAGGAUUCAAGCGUUAUCCGGAUUUAUUGGGUUUAAAGGGUGCGUAGGCGGUCGGAUAAGUUAGAGUUGAAAUCACGAGGCUCAAAUUCGGAAUUGCCUCUGAUACUGUUCGGCUAGAGAGUAGUUGCGGUAGGCGGAAUGUAUGGUGUAGCGGUGAAAUGCUUAGAGAUCAUACAGAACACCGAUUGCGAAGGCAGCUUACCAAGCUACUUCUGACGUUGAGGCACGAAAGCGUGGGGAGCAAACAGGAUUAGAUACCCGUGUAGUC
Molecule: ribosomal RNA, 460 nt
Filed under: uncultured bacterium
Lineage: Bacteria
Description: partial 16S ribosomal RNA
Rfam family: Bacterial small subunit ribosomal RNA
Source: RNAcentral